This 45-nucleotide non-coding RNA is filed under the name Alexandrium minutum. The record is from RNAcentral. Lineage: Eukaryota; Dinophyceae; Gonyaulacales; Pyrocystaceae.
UUUUUUUUUUUUUUUUUUUUUUUUUUUUUUUUUUUUUUUUUUCUU